AGAGCGAACGCUGGCGGCAGGCUUAACACAUGCAAGUCGAGCGGGCGUAGCAAUACGUCAGCGGCAGACGGGUGAGUAACGCGUGGGAACGUACCUUUUGGUUCGGAACAACACAGGGAAACUUGUACUAAUACCGGAUAAGCCCUUACGGGGAAAGAUUUAUCGCCAAAAGAUCGGCCCGCGUCUGAUUAGCUAGUUGGUGAGGUAACGGCUCACCAAGGCGACGAUCAGUAGCUGGUCUGAGAGGAUGAUCAGCCACAUUGGGACUGAGACACGGCCCAAACUCCUACGGGAGGCAGCAGUGGGGAAUAUUGGACAAUGGGCGCAAGCCUGAUCCAGCCAUGCCGCGUGAGUGAUGAAGGCCCUAGGGUUGUAAAGCUCUUUUGUGCGGGAAGAUAAUGACGGUACCGCAAGAAUAAGCCCCGGCUAAACUUCGUGCCAGCAGCCGC
RNAcentral lists this ribosomal RNA (449 nucleotides) under uncultured bacterium. RNAcentral describes it as "SSU rRNA". It matches the Rfam family "Bacterial small subunit ribosomal RNA", at positions 26 to 518 of the family's 1533-position model. The record is from RNAcentral.